AAAUAAUUGCCAAUUAAAUUCAAGAGUAAUUAUGUGUAAUUUUUGCAUGUAACUCCUUUGGAAAUUACUUUAACUUUAUGUUGCUGGAUACUGUUACUAAUAAGCUAUUGAUUAUUCAUGUGCCUUGAAAAUCUGUGCUAAUUCUUGCUAAGUACACUGAUCCUACUGGUGGAUAAGUGAUCUAGAAAUUAUCUUUGUUGUGGUUAUUGUUGCUAUCGUUUUUGUCACAUGUUAUACUAUUGUUAUACCAAAUAUUCACUGAU
Molecule: non-coding RNA, 263 nt
Organism: Pelobates cultripes (western spadefoot toad)
Lineage: Eukaryota; Metazoa; Chordata; Amphibia; Anura; Pelobatidae
Source: the annotation of a GenBank genome assembly